CGUUUCGAAAGGAACGCUAAUACCGCAUACGUCCUACGGGAGAAAGCAGGGGACCUUCGGGCCUUGCGCUAUCAGAUGAGCCUAGGUCGGAUUAGCUAGUUGGUGAGGUAAUGGCUCACCAAGGCGACGAUCCGUAACUGGUCUGAGAGGAUGAUCAGUCACACUGGAACUGAGACACGGUCCAGACUCCUACGGGAGGCAGCAGUGGGGAAUAUUGGACAAUGGGCGAAAGCCUGAUCCAGCCAUGCCGCGUGUGUGAAGAAGGUCUUCGGAUUGUAAAGCACUUUAAGUUGGGAGGAAGGGCAGUACAUUAAUACUGUGCUGUUUUGACGUUACCGACAGAAUAAGCACCGGCUAACUCUGUGCCAGCAGCCGCGGUAAUACAGAGGGUGCAAGCGUUUAAUCGGAAUUACUGGGCGUAAAGCGCGCGUAGGUGGUUUGUUAAGUUGGAUGUGAAAUCCCCGGGCU
RNAcentral lists this ribosomal RNA (468 nucleotides) under Pseudomonas helmanticensis. Its description in RNAcentral is "bacterial SSU rRNA". It matches the Rfam family "Bacterial small subunit ribosomal RNA", at positions 147 to 609 of the family's 1533-position model. The record is from RNAcentral. Lineage: Bacteria; Pseudomonadati; Pseudomonadota; Gammaproteobacteria; Pseudomonadales; Pseudomonadaceae.